This 1467-nucleotide long non-coding RNA is filed under the name Fragaria vesca (wild strawberry). Its description in RNAcentral is "long non-coding RNA (FVES_LNC004442)". Lineage: Eukaryota; Viridiplantae; Streptophyta; Magnoliopsida; Rosales; Rosaceae. The record is from RNAcentral.
CAUAUAGAAAUUUUAAUAGAAUUUGAGACGUGUAUUCAACUAUUCCUGUAAAGGCUUGAUUGUAACAUAGUUUCUGACUGAGAAUUCAUUGAAACAAAAUGUCGGCAUGUUUAUAACAUAGUUUACUUCUUUCUGUUAAUCCUUCAAUAUCAAUUCGGAUUCUUUAUUAUCAUCUUUGGUGAUUGUAUUCAUGGAAGAUGAAAAUUGAUUACAAAACCAGAAAAAUAGGAUGUAUUCUUGAAGAUAUCAAUUAUAUAUCUAAAGUAAUCUAUAGAGAAGCGUACUUUUUUAUUUAUUGAUUCAAUUAUAUUUCAGGUGCCAAGCUUACUCAUACCUCAAAAAAUAUAGCAAAGGAGUUUGUUACAGGAGGUUUCAUUGUUGAGCUGAUUAAAUAUUGCACUGUCAGUGCCUCUUUAUCGAACAUCAAUCAAUUAUAGCCAACUAAUUAAGCUAUCUUCAGUUACCACAGUUUACUACUAAGUAUUGUUUUACACAACUUACAACACUGUUGCUUUUCCAAUAUAUGUACAAUCAGUUUAGCAUGACAUGAUCUAUUUAGGCAUUUAAUUGUUGAGACAUUUAAAAAUUAAUCACGAUCCUUCCAACUUGGAAUGAAUUUUGCAGUGCAAGAUGGUGUAAAUUAUCAGUUUUCCAAGUUAUUGAUGAGAUAAGAUGCUAUAUUAGUUAUAGCCACAAAAACAAGAACAAACAAUUCCUGCUGCUUGCUAAAAUCUUAGGCCGUAAGGAGAUUGUCAGUGUUGAUUUGUUCACUUUGUAUCUUUACCUAAUACCCUCUGCUAUUUUCUUGGGUUUGCUGUUACAGCUUCAUACACCAGUGUUCGUUCCUGAUAUGAAUGAAUGAGGAAAGUGUUGAUCACAUUGAAAUAACUCCAACUCAUGAAGAUACAUCAGCUGAAAAUGCAAAUAUAAGAAGUACAAUAAGUUCUGUUGCCCCCUAAAUACAAAACUUAGAUAGCAUAAGAAAAUAAACAAAAUAGAUCUUUGUAGUUUAUUUUUGGCAGUUUAUAUUCACAGUUAUUUAUCAGCUGUUAUGUGAAUUUCAUUUAUGACCUUUUAUGGCAACUCAAGGCAAAAAUUCUUCCAACAAUUUGAAGAUACUCGAGGACAGUUGACAUGAAAGUAUAAGCGGAUCAUUAAUGACUGCCUGGAGGUUUUGGUGAAAUACUGAUUCAUUCAAGAGCGUACUUUUGUAAACGACUCCGGAUCAGACUCCCAACAUGUGGCACAACUAUUUUUAGCAAUUGAAAGCAAUUUCUGAAAGUUUUUAUGUACAAAUAGAAGAGGAAUGUAAUGUACAAUUCUUUAAACUGUAGAGUAAUGUAUUGUCAUAUCAAGUACAUUUAACAACGGAGUAACUUUCAAAUUCUCUUUUGCAAAAAAACUCGCUCAUAUUUCAGUGAUAGUUUUUUUUUUGUUUUUUUUUAAGGUGUUUAUCAUACAUUGCAU